Molecule: non-coding RNA, 85 nt
Filed under: human gut metagenome
Source: RNAcentral
UACCGCUGGGGGUGCCGCAAGGCUGAGAGGGCGUAUCUGCCCGACCCUUGGAACCUGUCUGGAUCAUGCCAACGGAGGGAAGCGG